RNAcentral lists this long non-coding RNA (3585 nucleotides) under Theobroma cacao (cacao). RNAcentral describes it as "long non-coding RNA (TCAC_LNC002591)". The record is from RNAcentral. Lineage: Eukaryota; Viridiplantae; Streptophyta; Magnoliopsida; Malvales; Malvaceae.
AGGUUUGCUUAACAUGACAAUCAACCUUAUAAUCAUUUACAAGAGAUCCUCAAGAGGUUCAAAAUUUUUUCAUCCCUUUGGUGAACAAAGUAGGUAUUGAAAUUAGCAUCCCUUAAGACUCCAACUUUGGCCAAACCUGAAGAAUGUCAUAAAGAAAAUUAGUCACAGAGCAGACAUAAAAAUAGAGUAAAAAUAUCAAAUACUGAAUAAAGAAGACAGUAGCUGGAAUAUCUUCAUUUGGUGAAAAUGGUGCAAUAUAUAACCAUGCUUUGGAAGAAAUAAAGACAAAUAGGACAGGGCAACUGCAUAGCAGUACCAUAUUGCACUUUGUCGGCUAGGUGAACAGUGGCUUCCAAUUAAGAAAUGCCACAUGCCCUCUACAACUAAUUCCUGAUAGCUCACAGGCUAUUCUAAUAGAAAAAAAAAAUAUAAAAUACUAUAAAGAUAAAAGUUAAAGACAGAUAAAAUCAUGUGUUCUUUUUCUCCAAUAGCUUCAAACAUUUUAGCACCAAGAAUUUCCUCAUGCAGUUCCCAUAUUCAACACAUCUCCAUGGGAUUUACCAUGAGCACUCUCAACUUGGUGCGUAAAGUGAUGAACUUCUCCUUGCUGAGAGUCUUAGUGAGUAUAUCAGCAACUUGUUCAUCCGUUUAGUAGUAUUCCAACUCAAUCUCAUCAUUUGUUACUGCAUCACGAAUAGCAUGAAACUUUGCUCUAAUAUGUUUUGUCCUUCCCUGUUGAAUUGGGUUUUUUGCAAUCGCAAUUGCUGACUGAUUGUCUACUCUGAGCACUAUUCCUUCUGUUUGAAUAAAACCCAAAUCAUUUUGCAUCUUUCUCAACCAUAAAGCAUUGUUUAUUGCUGAAGUAGUAGCUAUAUAUUCAGCCUCCGUAGACGAUAGUGCGACAACUUCUUGCUUUUUGGAAUUCCAAGAGAACAUACCACUACCAAAGGAGAAGCAAUAACUAGUUGUACUUUAAGAAUCAUCUAAACAGCCUGCCUAGUCGUUAUCACUAAACCUUUGCAAGUUUAAGCUAUCUUUCUUACAGUAGACUAGUCCAAAACUCAAGGUUCCUUUUAAGUACCUUAGCACUCUCUUUGUAGCAGAAUAAUGAAUUUUUGAGGGAAAGUUCAUGUACUUGGAAAGCACACUUACAGUUUGCAUAAUAUCAGGUCUCAUUGCUAUUAGAUAUAACAAACAACCUGUCAUACUUUUGAAACGGUACUCAUUAGCUUUAAGACUUCCAUCUUCCUUACAUAAUUUGUUUCCAAACACAGCUGGUGUGCUAACCUUUACAAGCAUCCAUCUUGAAUCUCUUCAACAGAUCUUUUGCAUACUUAUGUUGAUGAAUUUUCAUUCCAUUUACUCCUUAAAUCACCUCUAUUCCCAAGAAAUAAGACAUUUCACCAAGAUCAAUCAUGUCAAAUUAUUAAGUCAUUUGAGUUUUAACUUUGUUAUUCAUCACCAUUUAGACCUGUAAUAAGCAGAUCAUCCACAUAUAUAGCAACAAUCAGUUGAGAUUUUUCAUCUAUUUUCUUAACAUAAAGAAUAUGCUCUGUGUCACUUCUUUUGAAACCUUUGCUACAAAGGUAGGAGUUGAUUCUUUCAUACCAACUUCUUGGUGCUUGCUUAAGCCCAUAUAAAGCUUUGUUCAACUUAUAGACUUUGGUUUCAUCUCCUUGCUUGAUGAACCCUUUAGGUUGUUCAGUAAAUAUAUCAUCUGUAAGAAAGCCAUUCAAGAACGUACACUUUACAUCCAUAUGCCAAAUUCUCCAACCUUCUCGAGCUGCCAAAGCCAUAAGUAAUUGGAUUGUGUCAUGUCUUGUAACUAGAGCGAAAGUUUCCAAGUAAUCGAACCCAUACACUUGUGAGUACCCUUUUACUACCAGUAGAGCCUUGCAUUUAUUUAUCGAUCCAUCUGCAUUAUACUUAGCUCUAAAGAUCUAUUUCACACCUAUUACCUUUUGGUUCUUUGGUUUUUCUACUAGAGUCCACGUGUUGUUCCUGUAAAUCAUAUUAAUCUCGACCUUCAUUGCUUGUUUCCAUUCCUCAUUUUCUUGAGCUUCAUUGAAAUUUACUGGUUCAAGUAAUGCCACGUUACAUCUUUCAUAAACAUCUUGUAGAGUUCUAGUACUUUUCACAAGUAAUUCAUCAAUGUUAUCAUCAUCCAGCACAUACCUUCCAGUAUUUGAAUCAGCAACGACAUCAAUGUUAACUGAUUUUUCUAUUUCUUGUUUCUCCCAAUUCCACCUUAAAUUUUCUUCAAACUUUACAUCCCUAGACAUAAAAACUUUCAUUGUUUCCAAGUUGUAGAGUCUGUAUACUUUUGUAGUUUCACCAAAACCAAUAUGAAUAGCCAACUGUGACUUUGCAUCAAGCUUUGUUCUUUCAGCUUGAGGUAUAUUAGCAUAGCAAAUGCAACCAAACACCCUUAAGUGAGUAACACUUGGUUUUGUCUUGUACCAGACCUCAAAAGGAGUUGUAUUGUUAAGUGCCCUGGUAAGAAACAUAUUCAAUAGAGUAGUAGCAACAUGAACAGUUUUUACCAGAAACUUUUGGGCAUUUUUUUUCAAAUAAAAGGCAUCGAACCAUCUCCAUAAGUGUUCUAUUCCUUUUCUCACAAACCCCAUUCUGUUUGGGGCUAUAUGUGAUGGUAUACUGAUGCUUUAUUCCCUUGUAACUUAGAUAAUCUAUAAACUUUCCUAAAGUAUACUCUUUACCAUUGUCUGUUCUCAAAACUUUAAUAGCAUGGCUUGACUCCUUUUCAACCAUAGCAAUAAACUUAACAAAGUAGCUUAAAAUCUUAGAUUUAGCUUUAAUAAAACAAAUCCAACCAAAUUUGCUAAAAUCAUCUAUGAUAGCAAAUAAUACCUGCUGCCACUUAGUGAUGCUGCUUUAACUAGUCCUCUAACAUUUGAGUGCACCACCUGAAGGACAUAUGUGGUUCUUGACUUGCUAUGUUUUGGAAAUGGUUUUUUGGCAUGCUUUCUAUGCAUACAUGUAUCACAUAAAUGAUAACCAUAUGUAAUUUUAGGCAGACCAUCAACUAAAUUUGUAAUAGACAUCAUUUUUAGAGACUUAUAAUUUAUAUGCCCAAGCCUCCUGUGCCAUUUCUUGUUAUCAUCAUUAGUUGACAUAUAGUUAUAUUGCUUAACUUCCAUCCAAUUGACAGGAAAACAUUUACCUUUCAUGGGUAUAGUAAAAAGUUCCUUACCAUAGGAAUCAAACACAGAACAGUUGAGGUUUUUAAAAACUAGUUCAUAAUUACUUUUGAGUAACUGACCAAUGCUUAAAAGAUUUUGACUAGCUUUAAGGACAUAUAAAACUUGAGAAUUGUACCUGAUUCCUUAUGAAGUUUGAACUCCAACCAUGCUACUACCCAUAACUUGAAAAUGAUCACCAUUACUGAUUCUAACUCUUGACUUGUAGUUUCUAUCCAGAGUAGUGAAUAAGGCUUCAUUCCCAGUCAGAUGGCUUGAAUAGGCGUUGUCUAUUAGCCAACUAUCUUUCUUUCCAACCUUAAAAACUUUUUAUGUAACAAAGAAAACUUCUUCUUCUUUUUCUUCUAUUUCUUCCAUAAUAACAGCC